Molecule: non-coding RNA, 283 nt
Organism: Paramuricea clavata
Lineage: Eukaryota; Metazoa; Cnidaria; Anthozoa; Malacalcyonacea; Plexauridae
Source: the annotation of a GenBank genome assembly
CGCACUGCUUGUUACAAGUUGUCAACAGUUUUGGAACAAUUUGUUGACAACUUGUAACCACCUUGCCGAAAUUGUCAGAUUUGUUACAAGGUUGUUCUGACAAGUCCGUUACAUGCUUGAUGCGACAAAUUGUUACAACCUUGUGUUGACAACCUUGUAACAUGCUUGUUUUUAUAUCACGGCUGUAAAAACUUAUAACAAGUCUGAUAAUGCUAUCAAGCUUGUUACAAGUUCUUAACAGCUUGUUACAAAUUUGUUGCAACAACUGGGAACAAGCAGUGCG